Molecule: long non-coding RNA, 398 nt
Filed under: Mus musculus (house mouse)
Lineage: Eukaryota; Metazoa; Chordata; Mammalia; Rodentia; Muridae
Description: predicted gene 28264
Source: RNAcentral
UUGAGGAGCUAAGCACAGAAGGGUGCAGUUGUGAAGGUGUUCUCCUCAUACAUGACCUGUAAGUGAUAAUCUGCCCUGAUCAGGGUUGUUGUACAGUUAAUCGAGGUGUGACAGGGUGGGGAAUCUCAGGCCCAGGAGGCCACUAUGUGAGGAAAAGCCUCCUGAUCGCCAUUUCCUGUGGAAUCUGAGGGUGAAUGGAAGGUGGAGGACCGUAUUCAUGGAAGAGGAUUGAACAGACUACUGAGUUCUUAAGAGAAGAAUGGCACUUAAGAAAUUGAUGGUGAUACCAAAGGAAGGUUACUUAUUACACUUGGACUUUGAUGAUGAGCACGAUGACAUAAAAGUUUCAGAGGAGGCUCUUUUGGAAGGUAUAGCAUUUCCAGUGUCAGGUAUUAAUU